UACGUAGGGCGCGAGCGUUGUCCGGAAUUAUUGGGCGUAAAGAGCUCGUAGGCGGCCUGUUGCGUCUGCUGUGAAAUCCCGGGGCUUAACCCCGGGCGUGCAGUGGAUACGGGCAGGCUGGAGGCAGGCAGGGGAGAAUGGAAUUCCCGGUGUAGCGGUGAAAUGCGCAGAUAUCGGGAGGAACACCUGUGGCGAAAGCGGCUCACUGGACCAUAACUGACGCUGAUGCACGAAAGCUAGGGGAGCAAACAGG
Molecule: ribosomal RNA, 253 nt
Filed under: uncultured bacterium
Lineage: Bacteria
Description: partial 16S ribosomal RNA
Rfam family: Bacterial small subunit ribosomal RNA
Source: RNAcentral